AGAGUAGGCGGCAUGGUAAGUUAGAUGUGAAAGCCCGAGGCUUAACCUCGGGAUUGCAUUUAAAACUAUCAAGCUAGAGUACAGGAGAGGUAAGUGGAAUUCCUAGUGUAGCGGUGAAAUGCGUAGAUAUUAGGAAGAACACCAGUGGCGAAGGCGACUUACUGGACUGAAACUGACGCUGAGGCUCGAAAGCGUGGGGAGCGAACA
This 207-nucleotide ribosomal RNA is filed under the name uncultured bacterium. RNAcentral's name for it is "partial 16S ribosomal RNA". It matches the Rfam family "Bacterial small subunit ribosomal RNA", at positions 568 to 774 of the family's 1533-position model. The record is from RNAcentral.